This is a long non-coding RNA of Panicum virgatum (switchgrass), 4296 nucleotides long. RefSeq lists it as uncharacterized. The transcript is spliced from 2 exons. Lineage: Eukaryota; Viridiplantae; Streptophyta; Magnoliopsida; Poales; Poaceae. The record is from RefSeq and is a predicted model, not a curated record.
CCGCACCGUCUCCCCGAGAGCAACCUUGUUGCCGCGGGAGAUGAUGCGAAGAACAGCCACCAGACCUGGCACCAGCGCCAUGGUCAGGCGUCUCCAUCCCCCUUCAGGCUAGGGGACAUCGCAGGAACAGGACCCUACGGGUCCAAUGCUCUUCUACUGAUCCCACUUAAGCUGAGGGAUGGUGCGCACGCCCACUCCGGUCUUCCCCCACCACUCGCAAGCAUUCUCCUAGCACCAAAGCCUGAAAAGCCAGGCCACCCCAUCUGGGGGCCGGUCACGAAAGGCAAAGGAAAACAUUACGAGGCUUAGGCAGUGUUGGAAGAAAGAGCAGGGAGGUUGGAGAAGAAAGGGAACCCUACGACCCCUAUUUAUAGCUGCGUCGGGCGCCAAGCUUCGGCCAUGCCGAAGGGCGGAGACUUGGACCGCCCGUGAUGGCGCAGCACUCCACGAGCAAAGGAUGCCCUCGGUCACCGCGCCGAGACGCGACUGAACAAAAUAAAGCGAAGCUGAGCCCCUGGACGCUAGGCGGCACAGCAUCGGCCUAGGCCGACCGCCCUCGAAUGGCGCGCCGCAAGGCAACCAGGGAAGGCGGGGCCAAGGCCCUAAGUGCGGGACAGCACGACGAAAGCACCAGCUGCCAAGCAGCGGGCGCCAUCGUCGCCCUGGCCCCCCUCAGCGCGCAGACAUGUCUUGUCCUUGAAACAAACAAACAAAGAGGCGCGCGCCUCGAAGUACUCCCCCCGCGGGCACGCUACCCCGACCGGCGUGUUGUCACAUCCGCCGGGCUGGCGCUCAUGCGCAUCUGGCGGGUGCGCGGCAUUUGACUGAUCACGUCAAAGGGGAAAUCGCUGAAUCACCCUUUGGCCGAAUCCUUUGACUCGACCAAAGCCUCGGGGGCUACUGUCGGGUACCACGAUUAGGGACACCCUAAUCGGGGUACUAAGAUCGCUUUAAAACGCAAACACAUGAUUAAGGCAACUGGGCCCACGAAGGCCCGCGGCCUCCUUCCAACCUGGAAGAAAGCAAAGGACUCAAAGAAGCCCAGCUUAUGGCCCAUUCGCACCCCUCUUGGGCCCACGGGACAAUCUCUGCCUCGUUCGAGGGCUCCCGUCGAGACCCCUCGACUGCGCCCCGCAUCUCCACCUCGCUCGAGGGUAGCGAACCUACCCUCGAGCAUGCGACGCACCUCCGCCUCGUUCGAGGCCACCCCUCGGCAUAAAGGACAAACGGCCCCGCCGCUCAACCGCUUGUCGUACGGGGGAAUUAAAAGCCGACCAUUCCUCCACGGCGCCUAAGACAGACGGUGUCAGACCGCCAUUCUUCAUGAUGGCUGCGACCGGAGUCCCAUCCGUCGGCUUCGGACACUGCUUCGCCAUCUCGGAUGCUGUGGCGGCACUGUGGAACCUGCGACGCGGGACAAGACGCGCUCAGCACAAUCCCCGUUACUAUUCUGCCAACUCCGGUUGACCGGACUCCACCUCAUCAUACGUAUGGCCCCGGACCCACCUCCUGCUUGGGAGGGGGGCCGGUGUCGCCACGGGCCCCUCGAAGAGGGAUGCCCAUCACCCGCGGCCGGAGCCCCGGACCCCCCUCGAGGGGUCCAGGACCUCCACGUGCCUCCCGGACCUCCUAAUGUACACGCCAGUACUCCGACCAGGGGAUCCAGGACCGCCGCGUGCCUUGCCACCGCUGGUGCACGCAAGACUUUGACCUGCGGGGCCCGCAGAAUGCCACCGCUGGAGUACGCUGGACCCUGACCUACAGGGCCCACGAAACGUCGUCACGCCACUUGGAGGGGCUGGCAGAACGCCGGCGCGAUCUCCGCAAGACCAAGGACGAUAUCCAGGACGACUGUCGCGCCCAACGACAUGCCCCACAGUGUACUUCCAGUAUUCGGCCACUGUACCCCACGAUUCGGGGGAAAACGACGACUUCCACGCCCCCACUCAUGUGCGCCACCCCUCCUUGUGACUAUAAAAGGAGGAGGCGGGCUUCCUUUAGACUGGCUCGUUCUCUCGCUCUGAGGACGCUCAGACGCUUCUGGGCCUCAGCUACUGCGGUCACCUACGUUCACGAUCAUCGCCAUACCCGACUCCUCUUCUAGCAGAGACCUGGGAGCUUCCCUCCCUCUCUCGCCUCGCUUGUACCCCCUACUACAAGCACAUCGGGUGCAAGAUAGUUGGGAUCCGGGCCCCCGGGUCGGGACACCGACAGUUGCACACUUGAGGGCAGGGUGUGCAGCCCUCAGUUUUGUUUUGACCGGUCUGACCGGUGGUUGGUUAGGCCAGGUAGCACCGGUCUGACCGGUGAGACGUACCGGUCUGACCGGUGGUGUUAGAACUGAACCAGUGAAGUAAUGUAGUUGUAUGUUUUCUUUUCCAUUUGAGUUUGGCUACGCUAUGUAAAGUUUGUAAAUUAUGUAAUUUAUGUAAAUUAUGUGAGCUUGUGUUUGAAACUCAAUAUGUGAAACUCUCGUUAUCGGUUGUCAUCCUUAUAUAUUUUCAAGUAUUUUGUCGUGCUUGUAUCAUCUGCGCCCGCCUUCGCGUGGGACUUCCAGUGUUGUUUCAAUCGGGCCGUGGGUUGAGAAAAGACCGUCAAAUUAAACCAUUAAGCUAAUGCGCCCGAUGUGUUCAAAUGACGGUCAUUACGCUUAAUUUAGAGUUUUAAUUUUUUAAUUUGGCGGUUCCGUCACAAUAUGCACACUCAUGUUUUGAGCAAAGUUUAUAAAGUACAAUGUUGAGACACGUAACAAAGACGACUAGAAGUAUAAAUCUUUCCGUUCUCUGUGUGCAAUAUCACAGAGAGAGGGUUCUAUAACAGAACUAGAUCUACUGUAUCCAAUAACAGAGAAGAGAUUACACGAUUUUCAUUACUGAUCAUUCACUGCAGAGUUAGUGACAGAUGUUGAAGGUAUGGUGUUGAGAACACACACAUAACAAAGACGACCGUCAGCACAGGAGCAUUGAGACAAGUUGUGGUCAGGGGCGACGCCACGUUUAUCUUGCCUGGUCCACGUGCACCAGGAAAGAGGAAACAAAUGAAAAUCUUGAGCUAUUUAGUGUAAUAUUACGUGAUAUAAUUAUAGAGUUGCACCAGAGACUAUGUGGCCAUCCCAAGACUUUGACUUUAUGAUAGUGUUUCACACUGUCACCGGGGCUUAUGAGUCGUGAGUCCUGACAUUGACGGGUAUGGAUUCUUGUGUCCAUCAUCGGAUUCAUAGACUUUUUGUGUCCAAAGAUGUCGUCAUGGGAUCAGCAAGAACUUGUCCCCUUGUCAGUGGUCACAUAGUUCCUCUGACGUGGGGACAAACAAGCGCGAAAGCUACUCGUCCCGGGAAACUUCCCGGCAAUUGAGCUCCCUGCGCCCCUUGCUUUCCCCUCCACUCUCCAGAGCAGCGCUGAUCUUCUUGCCGUCCAUGGCGAAGAAAUCCAAGAACCACUCUGCCCGAAGAGCCGCCUCCUCUUCGUCAGCGGCAGGACGUGAUGACCGUACGCCAUGGCUCCGGCUGACGGCUUUCGCCGUGCUCACCGUCCACUCGGCCUUCUCCGGUUACCUAGCCUGGGACGACGCCAGGCUGGUCGCGCUGGUCGCCGUCGGCUACCUCCUGAUGCUGGUGCUGCUGUUCUAUGGCGGCCUGCCUGGGCUCCAGAAGAGAGACUAGCCGGCAGCCACGGCCAACCCAAGAGGUCAUAUUAUCUUCAGAGCGGUGGUCAUUCUCAUCUCCUGGUUUAUGUGGAAGGAAAGAAACAACAGAACUUUUGAUCGUGUCUCCAACUCGGUACCUCAGUUACUCUCCCUGCUGCUGGACGAGUUAAUUGCCUGGUUCUGGGCAGAUUGUAAGCGACUAGAACCGCUCUUGUUGUUGCUUGGUAGAUUGCCGGGUCGCGAAUUGCCGACUGUGUAAUUUUCCCUUUAUUGUAUCUCUUUCUAGGUUGUGUUUCCGCUCUCUGAAACCAACCUGUUUGUUGUCGCUGUACUUUGUUUCUCUUCCUCUUAAUGAAAAACAGCAUGACCAGGUACCAUGAGAUAAGACCUGUUUUUCCUGGUUCUGAUUUCCUGCCUAAUUUUAUCUAGAUUUGGAGGUUGUGUAGCUGUGUUUGUGUACAAAGCUGUGUAUGUUGACGAACAUGGUUGUAGCUUUGUAUGUUACAUGCCCCAAGAUACUUACAGUUGUAUCAGCAACUGGGCAGCCUGUACAGGCUGCAGGGUUCAAGAUUGUACACUUACACUAGUGUUACAAUUAUUGUGUACAUGUACUGAUCUCGACUGCUUUCUAUGGAUCUUUUUUACGUUUUG